Long non-coding RNA from Saccostrea cuccullata (small rock oyster), 686 nucleotides. RefSeq lists it as uncharacterized. NCBI's taxonomy places the organism in Eukaryota, Metazoa, Mollusca, Bivalvia, Ostreida, Ostreidae. The transcript has 5 exons. The record is from RefSeq and is a predicted model, not a curated record.
ACUUGAUCAUUGGAUUAGGCAUCGGUAUACCUUUUCUUUUGAUUGCUAUUACAGCCAUGUUCGUCAUAUUUGUUUAUUGUAAAAGAAAAUAUGAGAAGAGAGAUGGAACUGAAAUCGAUAGAUCCUUUGAAGGAAGUUAUGUCUUCGAAUCAAGAAUAACCGUAAGCAAAGGUGGCAAAGUUCCGUUUAGUUUAAAAUUUCCAUGGUCUUCGGAAAGCGAUAUUAGGAGAAUGAGCAAUAUUACGAUAUAAAGUUCAAACGUCAAGCGCAGCUUGCACCAGGAAGGUAACACAGAGAUUGGAAAUGAUGGUGGCCACACCAGGUGUUAUCUUGAUCAAAGUACUACGGAUUCUUUCUGGGAUUUCACGCGAUCGUAUUUACCAACAGAGAAAUCGUUUGAAAUUAGAAGACCUGUUGCUGAAAGGAGACCUAAUCCUUUGUUUAGAGAUUAAUCAACAGCUGUGCAAGUCAGCAGAGAGAACAAAGUUGUUUUUUUUCUUUGGAGUGAAAAUAAGCAUGCUACAUUAGUUUAUUUUUGUGAUAUACAUGCAGUUUUUCGAGAUCAACACUGUCUUAUGACCUAUAUGAAACUCUUGUAUAUAAAUAUUACCUUUCUUGUUUGAUGUGCUUUUUGAGAAUAAUUCAUUUUAUAUAGGAAAGGAUAUCAUCUUUAGACUACCAAGUAU